Molecule: long non-coding RNA, 1698 nt
Organism: Alnus glutinosa
Lineage: Eukaryota; Viridiplantae; Streptophyta; Magnoliopsida; Fagales; Betulaceae
Exons: 2
Source: RefSeq, a predicted model, not a curated record
GAUUAGGAUUAAGAAUUCAAUUAUAGGUAGGUGAUUAAAUUAACCAUUGCACGUGUGUACGAAUCACUUCAACUCUUAAUUGAGCCGCUGCGUCCCCUACAUCAUCACCCUUAAACAUCCCAUCCGAUGCUGCCUUCUCAGCAGCCACCAUCGGUGUCACCCCUAGAUAACCAUCUGUUGCCAUAGCUCCACUAAACUGCAGGACCAACACAACCAUGGAUUUUGCUCCAAUUACGAUGCGCAGAUUGAAAAGGGCCACCUUUGCAGCAAUUUGUUCUUCAAGGAAGGGGAACUCGCGGGAAACAUAGAGGUCAAAAGGGAGACCCGGAUGCGAAGGGAUCAUCGCGGUGCGUCACCGUUCGCAACAGAGCGGAACUGUACGACGUUGUUUGCCUGUGACUGUACGUUGUCGUGUGUUGUCAACCCAGGGGCUCCAUCUCCACAAAACUGUUCGCCUUUUCACCACGGUGCAAUACCGAGUGAGAAGCAGACUAGUGUUCGUAGAUCUUUGGAGAUGAGUGGGCUGCCUGAGAUGAUGUACCGUGUGUUGAAGAGGAACCAUGAGCUGCGAUUUGCACCGCACCUACCAUCUGUUAAACAAUGGGAGCAACCCAAGUUGCUUUCAAAGAGGAUCUGUGCACUAUGACCUGCUCCGCACCGGCCACCUACAUAGUCCGGAUGCGAUGUGGGUUGCGCCAAUCGAGCACGGAGUUCAUGGAGGAAUCAAAGGUGUCGAUGGAGAUCCAACUGCGGCCAAAACAUAUGCAACUUGCGGAGACGGAAGAGAAGCCGACGUGUCAGCCAUGACAAAUGUGUCUGAAGCGCCUAAAACCCGUAGUGGAGGAAGAGGAGUCGACGAAGAUGCAGUGGCAGAGACUUGGGGGAAUGAAGUAGUGAAGGACAAAAAUGAAAUUGAUGUAGAAGAGCCACCGCGAGAGAAUGCCAAGGCGAUUGGCAAGCUGGCAAGGUUAUUCAGGAGAGGGGGAGAGGUUGGAGGUGCCACGAUGAUGCAUUUGAGCUCAACGGCCACUGUUAUGGGUUGGGAGGGGUUUGGGGAUAUUGUUAUUCUAGCUCCUGAAAAUGUUAAAGAAAAACGUUACGUGGCAAUAUUUAAGAGAUUGAGCUUCUUCUUUAGAAAACAUUAUCUUAUUACCCUUGAAUUAUUUCUCUUAAUCCAAUCACCUGCCCCAAAUUGAGUUAUUAAUGAUAAUCCUAAUCUUAUCUCUGGGCUGAGCACUCAACACACCUAUUUAUGAAUUCGGUGAAGCUCCUUAGGCUGGUACGUAAUCUUAUCGCAUAAGUACUUACAAAACUGUGGCAGUUUGGAGAAGUCGUGGCAACCACCGAACACGAGGAGGCUAUAAUCAUAGCAGAGAUUGAUUAUUCACUAAUUGAGCUCAGGAGGACAAACCUCCCAUUGUCAAAGCAACUGUGAGGUGAUCUCUACCAUUGGCAGAUAUCCAGAGGCUGAACUGUCAGUGACUGGAGUGAGAAAUUCUAGAGGUCUGUUCUGAGGCAUGCAUGGAGGGAUUUUCAGCCAAAAAGGCUACUGCAAUGAAAAUGGGAGGCCAUUAUAUUCAGAGACUCUAUUGCACAAACCAUUUCAGGCAUUCGUAUAAUUUGUAUGUGGUGAGUUGGAACUUGAAUUUCUGGUUAUAUAAUAAUAUUGUGUUGGGUAUAUCAUCCAGCUCAUAAAUU